Molecule: ribosomal RNA, 2923 nt
Filed under: Klebsiella pneumoniae
Lineage: Bacteria; Pseudomonadati; Pseudomonadota; Gammaproteobacteria; Enterobacterales; Enterobacteriaceae
Description: bacterial LSU rRNA
Rfam family: Bacterial large subunit ribosomal RNA
Source: RNAcentral
GGGUUGUGAGGUUAAGCGACUAAGCGUACACGGUGGAUGCCCUGGCAGUCAGAGGCGAUGAAGGACGUGCUAAUCUGCGAAAAGCGUCGGUAAGGUGAUAUGAACCGUUAUAACCGGCGAUGUCCGAAUGGGGAAACCCAGUGUGAUUCGUCACACUAUCGUUAACUGAAUACAUAGGUUAACGAGGCGAACCGGGGGAACUGAAACAUCUAAGUACCCCGAGGAAAAGAAAUCAACCGAGAUUCCCCCAGUAGCGGCGAGCGAACGGGGAGCAGCCCAGAGUCUGAAUCAGCUUGUGUGUUAGUGGAACGGUCUGGAAAGUCCGACGGUACAGGGUGAUAGUCCCGUACACCAAAAUGCACAGGUUGUGAACUCGAAGAGUAGGGCGGGACACGUGGUAUCCUGUCUGAAUAUGGGGGGACCAUCCUCCAAGGCUAAAUACUCCUGACUGACCGAUAGUGAACCAGUACCGUGAGGGAAAGGCGAAAAGAACCCCGGCGAGGGGAGUGAAAAAGAACCUGAAACCGUGUACGUACAAGCAGUGGGAGCACCUUCGGGUGUGACUGCGUACCUUUUGUAUAAUGGGUCAGCGACUUAUAUUCUGUAGCAAGGUUAACCGUAUAGGGGAGCCGCAGGGAAACCGAGUCUUAACUGGGCGUUAAGUUGCAGGGUAUAGACCCGAAACCCGGUGAUCUAGCCAUGGGCAGGUUGAAGGUUGGGUAACACUAACUGGAGGACCGAACCGACUAAUGUUGAAAAAUUAGCGGAUGACUUGUGGCUGGGGGUGAAAGGCCAAUCAAACCGGGAGAUAGCUGGUUCUCCCCGAAAGCUAUUUAGGUAGCGCCUCGUGAAUUCAUCUUCGGGGGUAGAGCACUGUUUCGGCUAGGGGGUCAUCCCGACUUACCAACCCGAUGCAAACUACGAAUACCGAAGAAUGUUAUCACGGGAGACACACGGCGGGUGCUAACGUCCGUCGUGAAGAGGGAAACAACCCAGACCGCCAGCUAAGGUCCCAAAGUCAUGGUUAAGUGGGAAACGAUGUGGGAAGGCACAGACAGCCAGGAUGUUGGCUUAGAAGCAGCCAUCAUUUAAAGAAAGCGUAAUAGCUCACUGGUCGAGUCGGCCUGCGCGGAAGAUGUAACGGGGCUAAACCAUGCACCGAAGCUGCGGCAGCGACACUAUGUGUUGUUGGGUAGGGGAGCGUUCUGUAAGCCUGCGAAGGUGACCUGUGAGGGUUGCUGGAGGUAUCAGAAGUGCGAAUGCUGACAUAAGUAACGAUAAAGCGGGUGAAAAGCCCGCUCGCCGGAAGACCAAGGGUUCCUGUCCAACGUUAAUCGGGGCAGGGUGAGUCGACCCCUAAGGCGAGGCCGAAAGGCGUAGUCGAUGGGAAACAGGUUAAUAUUCCUGUACUUGGUGUUACUGCGAAGGGGGGACGGAGAAGGCUAUGUUAGCCGGGCGACGGUUGUCCCGGUUUAAGCAUGUAGGCUGGUUGUCCAGGCAAAUCCGGAUAAUCAAGGCUGAGGUGUGAUGACGAGGCACUACGGUGCUGAAGUAACAAAUGCCCUGCUUCCAGGAAAAGCCUCUAAGCAUCAGGUAACAUUGAAUCGUACCCCAAACCGACACAGGUGGUCAGGUAGAGAAUACCAAGGCGCUUGAGAGAACUCGGGUGAAGGAACUAGGCAAAAUGGUGCCGUAACUUCGGGAGAAGGCACGCUGGUGUGUAGGUGAAGCCCCUGCGGGUGGAGCUGAGACCAGUCGAAGAUACCAGCUGGCUGCAACUGUUUAUUAAAAACACAGCACUGUGCAAACACGAAAGUGGACGUAUACGGUGUGACGCCUGCCCGGUGCCGGAAGGUUAAUUGAUGGGGUUAUCCGUAAGGAGAAGCUCUUGAUCGAAGCCCCGGUAAACGGCGGCCGUAACUAUAACGGUCCUAAGGUAGCGAAAUUCCUUGUCGGGUAAGUUCCGACCUGCACGAAUGGCGUAAUGAUGGCCAGGCUGUCUCCACCCGAGACUCAGUGAAAUUGAACUCGCUGUGAAGAUGCAGUGUACCCGCGGCAAGACGGAAAGACCCCGUGAACCUUUACUAUAGCUUGACACUGAACAUUGAGCCUUGAUGUGUAGGAUAGGUGGGAGGCUUUGAAGCGUGGACGCCAGUCUGCGUGGAGCCAACCUUGAAAUACCACCCUUUAAUGUUUGAUGUUCUAACGUUGGCCCCUUAUCGGGGUUGCGGACAGUGUCUGGUGGGUAGUUUGACUGGGGCGGUCUCCUCCCAAAGCGUAACGGAGGAGCACGAAGGUUAGCUAAUCCUGGUCGGACAUCAGGAGGUUAGUGCAAUGGCAUAAGCUAGCUUGACUGCGAGCGUGACGGCGCGAGCAGGUGCGAAAGCAGGUCAUAGUGAUCCGGUGGUUCUGAAUGGAAGGGCCAUCGCUCAACGGAUAAAAGGUACUCCGGGGAUAACAGGCUGAUACCGCCCAAGAGUUCAUAUCGACGGCGGUGUUUGGCACCUCGAUGUCGGCUCAUCACAUCCUGGGGCUGAAGUAGGUCCCAAGGGUAUGGCUGUUCGCCAUUUAAAGUGGUACGCGAGCUGGGUUUAGAACGUCGUGAGACAGUUCGGUCCCUAUCUGCCGUGGGCGCUGGAGAAUUGAGGGGGGCUGCUCCUAGUACGAGAGGACCGGAGUGGACGCAUCACUGGUGUUCGGGUUGUCAUGCCAAUGGCACUGCCCGGUAGCUAAAUGCGGAAGAGAUAAGUGCUGAAAGCAUCUAAGCACGAAACUUGCCCCGAGAUGAGUUCUCCCUGAGACUUUAAGUCUCCUGAAGGAACGUUAAAGACGAUGACGUUGAUAGGCCGGGUGUGUAAGCGCAGCGAUGCGUUGAGCUAACCGGUACUAAUGAACCGUGAGGCUUAACCUUACAACGCCGAAG